RNAcentral lists this ribosomal RNA (746 nucleotides) under uncultured Oribacterium sp. RNAcentral describes it as "bacterial SSU rRNA". It matches the Rfam family "Bacterial small subunit ribosomal RNA", at positions 28 to 776 of the family's 1533-position model. The record is from RNAcentral. Lineage: Bacteria; Bacillati; Bacillota; Clostridia; Lachnospirales; Lachnospiraceae.
GAUGAACGCUGGCGGCGUGCCUAACACAUGCAAGUCGAACGAGAUGCGUAUCGGAAAGCUUCGGCCGGAAGAUACGUUAUCUAGUGGCGGACGGGUGAGUAACACGUGGGUAACCUGCCUUAUGGAGGGGGAUAACAGAGAGAAAUCACUGCUAAUACCGCAUAAGCACACAUUGCCGCAUGGCAGAGUGUGAAAAGAUUUAUCGCCAUAAGAUGGACCCGCGUCUGAUUAGCCAGUUGGCAGGGUAAAAGCCUACCAAAGCAACGAUCAGUAGCCGAUCUGAGAGGAUGACCGGCCACAUUGGGACUGAGACACGGCCCAAACUCCUACGGGAGGCAGCAGUGGGGAAUAUUGCACAAUGGGAGAAACCCUGAUGCAGCGACGCCGCGUGAGUGAAGAAGUAUUUCGGUAUGUAAAGCUCUAUCAGCAGGGAAGAUAAUGACAGUACCUGACUAAGAAGCCCCGGCUAACUACGUGCCAGCAGCCGCGGUAAUACGUAGGGGGCAAGCGUUAUCCGGAUUUACUGGGUGUAAAGGGAGCGUAGACGGAGUGGCAAGUCUGAAGUGAAAACCCUGGGCUUAACCUGGGGACUGCUUUGGAAACUGUUAAUCUAGAGUGUUGGAGAGGUAAGUGGAAUUCCUGGUGUAGCGGUGAAAUGCGUAGAUAUCAGGAAGAACACCGGAGGCGAAGGCGGCUUACUGGACAAUAACUGACGUUGAGGCUCGAAAGCGUGGGGAUCAAACAGG